GAUACUGGACCGUUGCAGAGGCUAGACUCAAUGGAACUUAGGAGUGAGUCUUGGAAGUUGUGGAAUCUAGCAUCUCGGAGUACAGCUAGAAUUGACAUAUUUAAGCCUUCUUUUGUAAGUGGUUUUAUGCCGACUUGAACUAGACCGACAUGAAUGUAUUUGUAGUUUCUGGCUAGGUGUUUUUGUAGGGAUUUUUGGGAGAGGAGUUG
This 209-nucleotide long non-coding RNA is filed under the name Populus trichocarpa (black cottonwood). Its description in RNAcentral is "long non-coding RNA (PTRI_LNC000200)". Lineage: Eukaryota; Viridiplantae; Streptophyta; Magnoliopsida; Malpighiales; Salicaceae. The record is from RNAcentral.